Molecule: ribosomal RNA, 499 nt
Filed under: Alternaria tenuissima
Lineage: Eukaryota; Fungi; Ascomycota; Dothideomycetes; Pleosporales; Pleosporaceae
Description: eukaryotic LSU rRNA
Rfam family: 5.8S ribosomal RNA (bases 141-294)
Source: RNAcentral
CCUCUCGGGGUUCAGCCUUGCUGAAUUAUUCACCCUUGUCUUUUGCGUACUUCUUGUUUCCUUGGUGGGUUCGCCCACCACUAGGACAAACAUAAACCUUUUGUAAUUGCAAUCAGCGUCAGUAACAAAUUAAUAAUUACAACUUUCAACAACGGAUCUCUUGGUUCUGGCAUCGAUGAAGAACGCAGCGAAAUGCGAUAAGUAGUGUGAAUUGCAGAAUUCAGUGAAUCAUCGAAUCUUUGAACGCACAUUGCGCCCUUUGGUAUUCCAAAGGGCAUGCCUGUUCGAGCGUCAUUUGUACCCUCAAGCUUUGCUUGGUGUUGGGCGUCUUGUCUCUAGCUUUGCUGGAGACUCGCCUUAAAGUAAUUGGCAGCCGGCCUACUGGUUUCGGAGCGCAGCACAAGUCGCACUCUCUAUCAGCAAAGGUCUAGCAUCCAUUAAGCCUUUUUUUCAACUUUUGACCUCGGAUCAGGUAGGGAUACCCGCUGAACUUAAGCAU